GACGAACGCUGGCGGCGUGCUUAACACAUGCAAGUCGAACGGUGAAGGGACCGGUUUUUGCUGGUUCUGGAUGAGUGGCGACCGGGUGAGUAACACGUGAGUAACCUGCCCCCCUCUUCUGGAUAACCGCAUGAAAGUGUGGCUAAUACGGGAUAUUCUGCGCCUGCUGCAUGGUGGGUGUGGGAAAGAUAUUGUUUCGGUGGGGGAUGGGCUCGCGGCCUAUCAGCUUGUUGGUGGGGUGAUGGCCUACCAAGGCGGUGACGGGUAGCCGGCCUGAGAGGGUGGACGGUCACACUGGGACUGAGACACGGCCCAGACUCCUACGGGAGGCAGCAGUGGGGAAUAUUGCACAAUGGGCGCAAGCCUGAUGCAGCGACGCCGCGUGAGGGAUGGAGGCCUUCGGGUUGUAAACCUCUUUCGCCAGUGAAGCAGGCCUGUCCCUUUUGUGGGUGGGUUGACGGUAGCUGGAUAAGAAGCGCCGGCUAACUACGUG
RNAcentral lists this ribosomal RNA (493 nucleotides) under uncultured bacterium. Its description in RNAcentral is "partial 16S ribosomal RNA". It matches the Rfam family "Bacterial small subunit ribosomal RNA", at positions 28 to 507 of the family's 1533-position model. The record is from RNAcentral.